UACAGAGGGUGCAAGCGUUGUUCGGAAUUAUUGGGCGUAAAGGGCGCGUAGGCGGUGCGGUAAGUCUGCGGUGAAAUCUCCCGGCUCAACUGGGAGGCUGCCGUGGAAACUGCCGUGCUUGAGUGUGGGAGAGGUGAGUGGAAUUCCCGGUGUAGCGGUGAAAUGCGUAGAUAUCGGGAAGAACACCCGUGGCGAAGGCGGCACUCUGGGACGGUACUGACGCUGAGACGCGAAAGCGUGGGGAGCGAACAGG
Molecule: ribosomal RNA, 253 nt
Filed under: uncultured bacterium
Lineage: Bacteria
Description: partial 16S ribosomal RNA
Rfam family: Bacterial small subunit ribosomal RNA
Source: RNAcentral